CUUCUGCAAACUUUUACAACUUGCAUAUACAUAGAGCUUUCUUCCCCUCUAUAAAUUGAAGAAUGAUCAUCCAUUUACCUCCAUCCCAUCUUGCAUGAUUAGUUCCUUUCUAAACUAUUCCAUCCUUAUUUUGUUUUAGUGAAGAAAACCCGGUUCCGGUAACCGUAACCAAAACCGAACACCAUACCGACACCACUUUUCAUUCACCAUUAUGCCUGCUAAACCACUCAACUAUCUCUACUAAACCACUCGAAGCUUUAACCACAGAAAACAUACUACCCGAAACCAUUUCCGGUGAAGAAAUACUAAUUCCGGCGAUACUUACGUAUUUUCCGACGACGUCUUUCGUAACCGAAACAUGUUUUUGACCAAGGUUUAUACGAACACGCUUGACAAGUUUAUAUAUAUUUAAGAUAACAAUCAAGAAACAAGGUUCACAGGUUAUUUUGGGCGGGGUGAAGAGUGAGGAAUAAACCCUAGGAUGCUAACCAAAGAUGUUUAUCACUUUUAUAAAAUAAAUAUGUACUUUGGGCCUUAGGGCUAUGAACCGUAUUUUGAAAUGUAAGCCUAACUUUAAUUAAUGGAAUUAUGACUUAUGUUC
Helianthus annuus (common sunflower) is the source of this 601-nucleotide long non-coding RNA. RefSeq lists it as uncharacterized. The transcript is spliced from 3 exons. The record is from RefSeq and is a predicted model, not a curated record. NCBI's taxonomy places the organism in Eukaryota, Viridiplantae, Streptophyta, Magnoliopsida, Asterales, Asteraceae.